RNAcentral lists this unclassified non-coding RNA (520 nucleotides) under uncultured Entrophospora. Its description in RNAcentral is "SSU rRNA". It matches the Rfam family "Eukaryotic small subunit ribosomal RNA", at positions 569 to 1084 of the family's 1831-position model. Lineage: Eukaryota; Fungi; Glomeromycota; Glomeromycetes; Entrophosporales; Entrophosporaceae. The record is from RNAcentral.
AGCAGCCGCGGUAAUUCCAGCUCCAAUAGCGUAUAUUAAAGUUGUUGCAGUUAAAAAGCUCGUAGUUGAAUUUCGGGAUUGACGUGAUGGUCGUGCCUUACGGGGUAUGAACUGUUGCAGUCAAUUUCUCACCUUCUGGAGAAAUAUGAUGUCCUUAAUUGGGUGUCAUAUGGAACCAGAACUUUUACCUUGAAAAAAUUAGAGUGUUUAAAGCAGGCUUAUUGCUCGAAUACAUUAGCAUGGAAUAAUAAAAUAGGACGGCAUGGCUCUAUUUUGUUGGUUUCUAGGAUCACCGUAAUGAUUAAUAGGGAUAGUUGGGGGCAUUAGUAUUCAAUUGUCAGAGGUGAAAUUCUUGGAUUUAUUGAAGACUAACUACUGCGAAAGCAUUUGCCAAGGAUGUUUUCAUUAAUCAAGAACGAAAGUUAGGGGAUCGAAGACGAUCAGAUACCGUCGUAGUCUUAACCAUAAACUAUGCCGACUAGGAAUCAGACGAUGUUAAUUUUUUAAUGACUCGUUUGGC